This 577-nucleotide ribosomal RNA is filed under the name uncultured bacterium. Its description in RNAcentral is "bacterial SSU rRNA". It matches the Rfam family "Bacterial small subunit ribosomal RNA", at positions 338 to 916 of the family's 1533-position model. The record is from RNAcentral.
CCUACGGGAGGCAGCAGUAAGGAAUAUUGGUCAAUGGACGAAAGUCUGAACCAGCCAUGCCGCGUGAAGGAUUAAGGCCCUCUGGGUUGUAAACUUCUUUUAUCUGGGACGAAAAAAGGGUAUUCUUACUCACUUGACGGUACCAGAGGAAUAAGCACCGGCUAACUCCGUGCCAGCAGCCGCGGUAAUACGGAGGGUGCAAGCGUUAUCCGGAUUUACUGGGUUUAAAGGGUGCGUAGGUGGGCUUGUAAGUCAGUGGUGAAAUCUCCGGGCUUAACCCGGAAACUGCCAUUGAUACUAUAGGUCUUGAAUUAUCUGGAGGUAAGCGGAAUAUGUCAUGUAGCGGUGAAAUGCUUAGAUAUGACAUAGAACACCAAUUGCGAAGGCAGCUUACUACGGAUAUAUUGACACUGAGGCACGAAAGCGUGGGGAUCAAACAGGAUUAGAUACCCUGGUAGUCCACGCCCUAAACGAUGGAUACUCGACAUCAGCGAUACACUGUUGGUGUCUGAGCGAAAGCAUUAAGUAUCCACCUGGAAGUACGAUCGCAAGAUUGAAACUCAAAUGAAAUUGACGG